Molecule: long non-coding RNA, 2700 nt
Organism: Dendrobium catenatum
Lineage: Eukaryota; Viridiplantae; Streptophyta; Magnoliopsida; Asparagales; Orchidaceae
Exons: 4
Source: RefSeq, a predicted model, not a curated record
AAUUAUAACUAUAAUUAACUAAUUAAAAAUAAUUAAUAAUUAUUAUAAUUAAUUAACAAACAAAAAAGUCUCUCUUUUUUUUUUUAUUUUGGCCGAAGAAGCCAAAGGGAGAAAGUUACCUAUACAGCAAGCGGACUCCCGUUCUUCCCCCCGAUCAAAAUGUUGCAACUUCCGAUUUCGACAGGAAGGGAAAGCCGUGGAAGGAGCGGGGUCGACCGGCUAGGGAGGGGGAAGACCGUCGGCUUGGACAGGAGGUAGGGAGAUCUAUCUCUUUCUCUCUUUCUCUCUCUCUAUUUCUUUGGACGAGAGUUGGCCGAAGGAGGAGAAGGCACGGCACAGGGGUUCGGAGGAGGCGAAGAGAGCUCGGCGGGCUUCAGUCGUCGGAGUAGGGAUUUGCGAACGGGAGAGGGGAGAUCGGGAGAGGAUUCGGGAAGUUGGAGCGGAACGAGGCCGAGCGGGAUCGCGAGAGGAGGCCGAAGGCCUCUUCCUCGUUCGCUUUUAACGACGCCAAGUCGUGCGAGCGAUCGUGUGUGAGGCGACGUCGAGUCGUGCGAGGAGUGGCGACGACAGAGGCAGUCGUGCGAGGCGCGACGUGGGGCUGCAGGGAGUAGGUAAGAUUUUGAUUUUCUUUUUUUUUUUGUACAGCAGGUCAACAGUACAAAAUUAUUCUUCUAGCCUAGUUGGUUGCUUGAAGUUAUAAACUAUAUCAGUGAGUAAUGUAUACUACAUUCCUUCAUUUGAUUUGAUUUGGUUUGGUCAGAUUUUAUAUGCCGAUUCGGUGUGGUCAGAUUUUAUAUGCAACUUCGAUUGUCGUGAUCGCAUCAUAAAACUCUAACUUAAUUUCUAUGUAUAGUCACCUCUAGUCAAAGGCUGCUACUCUAAUAGCAUGAAGGAUCUAUGUGGUCUAUUCUCUCCUAUUUAUUUUUAGUUUGCAUCAAAUGAUUAUCAGAACAUACUUCUAGUGCACUAUUUUUGAAGAAACAUGCUUCUUGCAUUCUACCAAAUAAUUUUCCGUUAGCUAUGCAAACAUAUAUGUUGUGAUGGUGGAUUCGAUCAAACAAAUUUCAUGUAGUAAAAUUUAUAUACUUAUGAUUAAGUGGUGGUUGGUAUAUCAUUGGCAUGUAUGAAUGAGCAAUGUAAAUAGUUCCCAUUAUUUCUUGGAUAUGUUUUGAGCUUAGCAUUAAAUAAAAUUCUCUCUAAUGUGUAUAAUUGUUCAUUCAUACUCUUUUGGGGAUGUGCUUUGGGAAUUGCAUUUGGACAUACAUAUGACUUUGUUUAUCUCGAUAACAACUGUGACAUUAAUUGCAUAAUGGCUAAAUCAUUAAAAAAAAUUCAACCUUUUUUUAUUCCCUUUGUAUAUGUAGUUGUGAUUUCUUCAUAUAUUUGAUUUCUUUUUAUGAGAAAACACACGAGUUAAAAUCCUUUCUCGUAUACAAUUACAUAUGUUGAUUCAUUCUUGUAAGUUGUCAUAUACAUUGAAAUUAUUUCUUACAAAGAUACAUACACUUCGAAAUUGCUUCAAUGACUUGAUUUGAUUCAUAUUCUCACAUAUUUGUUUACAUGUUAAUUCAUACCAGUUUCUAUAUUCGCAUACAUGAUAUUCUGACACCUCCUUUUCUCUUCGCGUAUUUGCGAGGUACUGAUGGAGCUGAUUGGAGGAUGAGCCAAGGAGCUUCAGUCGCCCCGUUUCUUCUAAACGGGGUGCUACGACCGGAGUCACCGUUGACUAGCUCCGGUGAUUAGCACAAACGGAACCUGUUUGUGAAAGGUUGGUUGUAAGACUACCCUACAGUGGAUUAAAUCUUCACAUUCGCACAGGCUGGUACUCAAUUUUGGGAUGGGAAGUUAGAAAAAGAGCUAGCAGAAGGUCGACUUAGUAGCACUGCUUAUGACCGGUAAAAUAUGUGAAGGUACUGUAUGGUUCUCUUUUCUGGGAUUGCAGCUGAAGCUCUCAUUUGUGGAGAAGCAGAAGGUGGAGAAAAUGAUGAAAAUUUGUUUAGGGGUAUCUGUCUUCUCUUCCAACCUCCAUUAAAUGUACCACAGAUGGCAAAUCAAGCACGCUGGUCGGUCAUGCAGUCUUACAAUCUUCUUAAGUGGCUGUUAAAGCUCUGCGAUCUGGCCAUAGCCUUAGUGUGGUCAUCAGGAGGAUAUAAGAAGCCAUGUCUUCUGGUAGUUGACAAAGAAGCUCAGUGGGUUCUGUCAUGGAAUCAUAGUGCAUUGGUCAUUGCAGUGUCUUCUUACCAUGAGCAUCCUGUCAGGCGCUGAACAACUUAAUGAGCCUUUAAAUUGGUCAAAGAGAUGCUGGCAACUUUAUAUGCAAAUAUCAUGAAAUAACUCAUAAGACCAACAUGGAAGGAAGAGAAAGAAUCGAGCAAGAAGAUUGAUUCCCAUAUAUGCCAUCAAAAGAAGAGGGCUCGCUACAUGAAAAGGUUAGGGGAGAAUUUUGGUUCAGUAUGCUUAGCCGUGCUCUGAAUGUUAUUUUUAGAAUUUUCAUAUCAUUCAACAGAAGCUUCAGCCUACUUUCUUCCAAGGAAGGAUUGCUCUUCCAAUAUGUUUGAGUAAAAUGGGAGGAGAAAAUGACUGAAAGAGAAUUUUUGUUACCGUUAUUGCUAUUUGAAAAUUCAUGUAAAGGAGUUGUAGUAGAAAAUUUUAUAGUUAAAGUUGCCAAUGAAAAGCUUUUUAUUCGUGUUUGUUGAUCCA